ACCUCCAUAUGUCCCAAGUGCGGCCCUAAAAAGACAAAAGACCAAAAAGAAAAGAAAAAAAAAAUUGGAAAGCAGUGUUUGGUAAGGUAGUGAGCUCCCUGUCUCUGGGAGUGUUUAAGAAGCUCAUGGUGGUUCCUGCAGUGGGUAUAAGUUUGGGUCAGAUCUGUCAGCUUCCUUCCAGCUAUUCUAUGCUAGAAAUAUAAGAGCUUGACAAGAGACUUACACAGCAAGCAGAAAUCUCUUAGGCUCCUAUGGCAUGAUAACACAUUUAAGUAAAUCAGAGGAGGGUGGCUGGUGGAGGCUGAGGGAUAAGGAAAGAUCUCAAAGGUUUAGCAUCUUCAGCUGGUCCUGGUCAGCUCAGCUGGUCUUUUCUCCCGCAGAAUUAGAACUCGUGGUUACAAGAUAUAGGAAAUCUAAUUAAUUUAGUUUGACUUACAGAAAAAGGGAAUUUAUUAGCUUACAUAAUCAAAAAAUUCAGGAGUCUGGUCUAGCUCUGGGCGUGGCUGGAUCCACAGUUUCAAAUGAAGUCAUUAAGACUUGGUCUCCAUGUCCCAGCUUUGUUUCUCUCCUUUAUACCCAAAAUUAGCUUGGAAGUUUAGACAACUUUUUUUUUUUUUUUUCCUUUUUACCACCACACCUGCAGCAUAUGGAAUCAAAUCAGAACUGCAGCUGCGGCUUAGGCCAUAGUCUGGCAAUGGCAACAUGGGAUCCCAGCAGCAUCUUUGACCUAUGCAGCAGCUUAUGCCAAAGCCCACCCCUUAACCCACUGAGCAAGGCUAGGAAUCCAACUGCGUGCCCAGACCCUCACAGAGAGCAUGUGGGGUCCUUAACCCACUGAACUACAACAGGAGUUCCACUUGAGACUCAUCCUGACAGAGUGCAGAGCAAAGCCAACUUUGCAGUGGCCUUGGCUGAAGGCUUUCCAAGGCCCCCUUCCCACCUGUAAGUAAUUCCUUAAGAAUGUUUUAUCAUUGAGCCUUUGACUGUCCCAAAGACCCUGCCUCUUCACAUCUUGAACUUAACCCUGUCCUCCCAGUUGGGAUCUCAGGAAGAGGGGGAGAGCUGGGGCCCCUGGACAUUUGCCUGGAACAGGGCGUUUCUUCUGGCUGGAAACAGAUAGCAGUGAGUGAAGGAAGGCCGAUAAAGAAAGCACCUGGAGCUGUGGAAGGGGAGAGGACUACCAGGUAUUUCGUGAGCGGUGACCAGCUAGCAAGGUGUGGCCAAGGGGCCCCUAGAAGGUGUCUGAGGCGGGGUCUGGCUACUCCUACUUAGUUCCCUGGACGCAGGAAUCAGUAAGUUGGCACAGUCCUGGGCGUUCAAUCCUGGGGGCCUAGGCUAGUCUAGGAGCCACGAGCCUCAAUGAUCGGUGAAGUAAGAAGAAAAAUUCAAGGGUGGUAAGGGAGAGAAGGCAGAGGAUUCAGGCUUUGGGAACUGAAAGGAAAACCAAGUUCAUAUCGCACCCAACUUCAAACAGUGAGUCCGCUCCAUUCCGCGAACGCGGGAGGCGGCGGCUCUGACAACCACCUGCCCAGAGCUCGGCGAAGUCCCGGGAGAGACUCCCUCUCUCCGCAGGCUGCGGGCCGGGCCGCACGUCGCCUGCGCAGAGGCGGGGGCCAGGCCGCGUGGUGGCAGGAGGGGGCGCGCGGGGCUCGGUCCUGAGCGAGCCGAAGCAGCGGGCACCGCGGAGCCCUGCCGAGAGGGAGGUCUACAGCCUGGAUUGGGGGCGUUUGAAACUUUGGCUGCGGUUCCGGGCUUGUCCUAGAAGUAAACUUUGUCAAGAGAUCUACAAAGGUCAGGCGAUCUGCAGAGAUGGAAGGGAGAAAUGGCCGAGAUCUGCUGUGGGUUAUGGCCCCAGGGAAGGAAGGUCAGAAGCUGGGAAGCUUGCAAACCCUGGGUGAUGGGAGUGGGGAGGCUUUGCGUGCAAAUCCUGGGGGAUAUUCUAGAAGUGGCUGGACUCCUUCCUCCACCCUUGGCACCCAUCCCUGCAGCACUGAUGCUGAGGCCCCUUUCGACGCCUCUCUCUCAGGUAGACCCACCCAGAGACCAAAGUUCACAUCCCCACCAUAUGGAACCUGUUGCAGGUGUGCAGCUCUCUAGGUAAAAUCUAAACAUUUUUUCAGAAGUUUUAUUUAAAAACUUGGGGACACGACAGAGAACAACAGGAUAGAGACUGGUAUUUUGCCAGGGUUCUCAAACCAGAAAUCAAGCUUGGGUUCUUCAGUUCACUGGGUUCCCUCCAGCCUGUGGGAUCCUGAGCAGGAUACCCAUACAUAUCCUCUCAGGCUCUAACCCCCUCCCCCACUGCCUACUUCCUGUGGCUGAGGAGACACUGAGGCGUCAGCACAGACCAUGAGGCAGCCGGAGUGGGGAGCAUCUGAUUAAACUCCGGAAGGAGGACUGAAAACCUGGGAGUUUGGGGGUUGGGAGGAAUAGAUGAAAAAAAAGGGGUGGGGAGGGGG
This is a non-coding RNA of Sus scrofa (pig), 2459 nucleotides long. NCBI's taxonomy places the organism in Eukaryota, Metazoa, Chordata, Mammalia, Artiodactyla, Suidae. The record is from RefSeq and is a predicted model, not a curated record.